UGCACGUCUCCCGACCCACCAGCUGGAGUCACUCACAGAUUUCCCACCCACAAAAAGUGGUUGGUUGCCACAGCCAAACCAACCAGAACAAUCCAGGAGGGAAAAAGAGUAGAAUUUUCAGAGCAAGACCUUAAUUAAUUGAAAGUAAAUGACUAUCAGCAUUUCAGUUCCAUAAACAGUGUUUGCCUCAGAGCCACAGUCUGAGGAAGCAGGAACGAGGCCUGGAGAAGGGUCAGCAGGUCCUGACCGAUGGCAGGAAGGUGCGCAGGUUUGGCUGCAGUGGAAAUAAGUGGAGUUACGACGUCCACCAGCCUGGCAGAGAUGGAGAAAUGAGAGCCGAGCAGUGUGGACCUGCAGAGGCUCCCGAGGCAGAGUUCAACAUACCCAGGAUGUAUUUUCAUUAUCCGGCUUCACUUAAUUUAACAUCGGCCGUUUUCUCAUCCAACUACGAGGACGUCCGUGUGAGAGAGGCGGAGUCGUUAAUUACGAGCAACAUCCGCAACAUGUAACAGGCAACAAAUACAAGUUAGGUUCAAAAGAGUGAAAUGUGAACGAGGGUCACAUGACUAGAAGAGAAACAGUAGAUAUACAUUUUGAUCUCGAAAAAAAUUAUAAAACCAAAGAAACUGUAAAUAAGUGGAGGAAGUUUAUUAAGGUUAUUACUGAGCAUUUUUGUUUUUGUCUGAUGGUGAACAAGCUAUUAUCAACAUGUCAUGUCAGACUGUUUCUGCUGCCAAAGCAGAGAGAGAAUUGAUGUGUGAUGACCUCAAUCUGACUGAAAUGUUCAUUUAUCAUCAUGUAUUAAACAAUGUGUGGAUUACUUUUUAAUAAAAUACAUUAAAGGUUUUA
This is a long non-coding RNA of Pleuronectes platessa (European plaice), 849 nucleotides long. RefSeq lists it as uncharacterized. The transcript is spliced from 2 exons. The record is from RefSeq and is a predicted model, not a curated record. Lineage: Eukaryota; Metazoa; Chordata; Actinopteri; Pleuronectiformes; Pleuronectidae.